RNAcentral lists this ribosomal RNA (468 nucleotides) under uncultured bacterium. Its description in RNAcentral is "partial 16S ribosomal RNA". It matches the Rfam family "Bacterial small subunit ribosomal RNA", at positions 28 to 507 of the family's 1533-position model. The record is from RNAcentral.
GACGAACGCUGGCGGCGUGCUUAACACAUGCAAGUCGAACGGAAAGGCCCUGCUUUUGUGGGGUGCUCGAGUGGCGAACGGGUGAGUAACACGUGAGUAACCUGCCCUUGACUUUGGGAUAACUUCAGGAAACUGGGGCUAAUACCGGAUAGGAGCUCCUGCUGCAUGGUGGGGGUUGGAGAGUUUCGGCGGUUGGGGAUGGACUCGCGGCUUAUCAGCUUGUUGGUGGGGUAGUGGCUUACCAAGGCUUUGACGGGUAGCCGGCCUGAGAGGGUGACCGGCCACAUUGGGACUGAGAUACGGCCCAGACUCCUACGGGAGGCAGCAGUGGGGAAUAUUGCACAAUGGGCGGAAGCCUGAUGCAGCAACGCCGCGUGCGGGAUGACGGCCUUCGGGUUGUAAACCGCCUUCGCCUGUGACGAAGCGUGAGUGACGGUAAUGGGUAAAGAAGCACCGGCUAACUACGUG